CAGGAGGGGCCACGUGGUCCGCGGGGCACCGCCCCCCGGUGACGUUCCCCUCUGCGGAGGAGGAUUGGCCCAGUCGCGGGGGCGGGGGCUGGACUGCUAACCCCGCUCCUCCCGUCCGCGCAGCGGCCCAGAAGGAGCAGAGCAUUGACCGGUUGGGUGUUCGGCAACGGCGGGCUGGCUGCAGCCGUGCGCAACUCGGACGAUCAGGGAGAAAAUCAGGGGGCUGGGGUGGGGGCUCAGUGGUGGAGCGCUUGCCUGGGGUGAGGUCCUGGGUUCGAUCCUCGGCACCACAAAUAAAUAAAUAACUAAAAAAUCCAUUGACAACUACGUGCAUAUAAAAAGAAGAAAACCUAGAACAAAUUAAUUGCUUUCUGUAAAUGAAGCAACCCGGGGUCAGGCUCUGCUGCUCCCUGGUGGUGCUUUGGGGUUACUGCACCGCUGGCUACCUGCCCCUGCCUCCUUAAGGACACGACCUCGACUUACUUUCCCUUUUAUUAUGAUUAUUUUUCUUUUAUUAGUGCAUCAUAGUUCUAUAUAAUAGUUGGGCUCAUUUUGACAAAAUCGUACAUGUUCGGAAUUUAAUAUACUCCGUUCAGUCCCCGUACCCUCCCCGCUUUCCUUCUCCUCCCUCUCCCUAUUUUCCUUCAUGAUUGGUGCUUUAUAGAUGCACAUGGAGGUGGAAUUUACUGUGGUUUAUUUGUACAUGCACAUAGCGUAAUUUCGUCAAAUUCAUUCUGCAUUUUCUCCCUUUUCCCAUCCCUCCUCCCUCUCUCUCAAUCUCCUUUUACUCCACUGAUCUUCCCUAUAUCUUUAUUAUAUCCGAACCCCCUUCCCCUUUUCUCUCUCUAGCUUCUGCAUAUGAGAAAACGUUCAAAUUUUGAUUUUCUGGGUCUGGUUUAUUUCACUUAGCAUGAUAUGCUCCAGUUCCAUCCAUGGGACUUAGUUUCUUUACAGCACAUGCUCAAGGGUUUAAGAGAUGACACAUCUACUUCUGGUCUGGGGAGGACUCACUGCUCCAAUGACUGAUGAGUCAUAGUCAGAGACUUCUUGGAACUCUCCCAGUAAAAGGGAAUUAACUCAAGGGUGGCUGGGCUGCCAAGUGACACUCUGACAUCUUACCCAGGGCAAUAUAGUAAUAAUAACACCAGCCAGGAACAUAAGAAUUAACAUUUAUUGAGGAUUUACUAUGUGACAAGUACUCUCCUCAGCUUUAGGUAUCUUAACUCAUUUAGUUGCCACAAUUUUAAGUGAUCUAAUCAGCCCAAUUUUACAGAUGAGAAAACAAAGUCACUGUGAGAUUAAGGAAGAUGACCAGUAUAGAAUAUUUAAAAACAUAAUACUGCUUUCUAAAACGAAGCAGAAAAUAUGUCCUUUUCAUAUAAUCCAUCCAAACACACCUCCAAACAUUAUCUGGUUUAAAUACCUGUGGGUUUUCUUAAGUUUUAUUCGGAAUCCAUAUUUCUUCAUAUUUUAAGGUUUCCAGGUACCCUGGGCAAACCAAAGAUUAUCAGUGUUGUUCUUAUGGGGUGGUGACCUAGAUCUGAACAUGGUAUCUCAGCUAGCAUUUGAACAGUUUAUAUUUUCAUUUGAAUGAUGGGCUUCUAAUGAUGCAGACUACCCAUAAAUAUGAAAAAGUCAAUCCACUUUUAAUUUGCUCACGAACCAGGUCCUGUGCCAGUUGCUUUCUGGAAGAAGCACACAGGGACGGUAUUUGUACAUAUUCUUUGUGUAUGAAUAACUUGAGACUUAGAGACGUUGGUUAACUUGGCCAAGGACAUGUUGAUCCAAGCCCAGGGUACUUGGCCAUGGAAAUGUACUUCCCGCCCUCUGCCCCACCUAUUCUUGACACACACAUUUGACCAGUUAGUCCUCUGGCUCUGGCAAAAUGAAGUCUCCUUCCCCAAAGUUCAAAGUUUGCUGUGACUCAGUGGAAAAUACACUUCACCAUUUAUCCGGACAACCACUCUCUCAGAUUCCAGGAGCUGCCAGAUCUCCCCUUUUUCUCUCCUUCCAUACAAUCAGGGCCUAAUUAAGCCCUUCCUGUUUGCACUCCCAUUUCCUACAAAACUCCCUACCAAUCUUUCUAGCCUGCCCAAUUCAUUCAUUUUCCUCCUUCCCCCUGUGGCCUGUGCUCCUGUGCCCCUCCUUGCCCCCUUGAUAUCCAGCUCAAAGUCUGUCUUCUCCAGAGGAAAGCCAUUUUUUGGGGGGGAGGAGGGAGAUGGAGGGACAGAGAUUCUCUUUUUCCCUGUCCUGCAAACAAUUACCUUCCAUCUUAUGUGACUCUUUGUGGUGCUAGAAACACCGCCACCCAGCUGCCAGUGCCUCCCUACAGAAAGGCCAGUUAGCGCCCAGUUUAGGAAUUCUUUCCUCCUCCUUCCAAUACACCCAGGGGUAUAUCCCAGAGUCCCUGUCGGAACUAUGUCCCAUGGUCAGGUUCCCAUUAACUUUUUCCUUCGCCCUGGGGAGUCUUAAACUUGAAGGAAAACGCUCUUUGAUCAUUUAAUGGCCAGGACCUCUGCAGCUAACAAUGUAUUAUAAAUGUCACACCCAUAUAUAAUACAACCUUCUUACCCUCUCUCCUCUGCGUAGGGUCACCUGAUCCUCAGGAAGGUUUAGACUCUCUAUCCCACCUUGUCUUGUAUAAAGGUCGUCCCAGGAUGGUAAGUAUUAUUUCACUGGUGGUGGGGGCCGGUUACCUGCUUGCACAGGAGACAAAACUUCCACACACAUCUUUUAGUUCCCCCAUAAAGUGUGGAGCCUGAUACAUAGUGCUCAAAAAUGUUAAAUAACAAAUGAGAAUAAAUAAGUAAGUAGAAUGCAUUGGCAAGACUGUGAAUGUACAUUUCUGAGUGUGAAUGUGCGUCUCGAGCACAACGUGGUUCCUUUUGAUUGCAUGAGUUCAAGGACUGUGUUAAGUAUCGGGCAGCACCUCUUUGAGGUGUGCAUUUUAACAUGUCAGUAUGAUCCUGGCUGAGACCAGUUACUUUGUAAAAAGGGAUAAAUAAGCCUUCUUGAUUUAAUUUAAUUUAUUUUAAAUCAAGCGUUGGUCCAUGGUGUGUAUGUGUGGGACGGCCUGUGGUCUCUGUGUGUAUGUGAAUGUGUUGGGGGACAUAUUCCUGGAGAACAAUUUGUUGACACUGAUGAUGGGUUUAGUAAUAAGCUUAAGUGAUUUCUCUGACUUCAAGGAAUUUACAACAUACUUGGAGGGAGGGGAUUUAGACUCAGAUAUAAUUAUUCCCGGAACAUGUAAUAAGGACUAACUUGCUCAUCAAAGCAAUUGUCACUAUCUGGAAAUCAGAUAAUAUAUAUUAAAAAGCUAAUUGUGCAGUAAAAAUAACAAGCAUGACAAGAAGUCAGUAGGGGGAAAGAUAAGCUUGGGUUGGAAAGAUCAGAAGUCUUCUGAAGAUGGGAUCUUCAUUUCCCAUUUUGUUCUCUGUCCUUUGAAAAGCUCAAUGGAACAGUUUUGGGGCUUUCUUAGCUUCCCCUUCACCAGCUGAUAAGAAUGUUUUGACCUAGUCCUGGUUCAUGUUGAGGCCCCAGAUUUCUAACAGGUUUGAGAUGAAGUUAGACGCAGAGGCCGCCUUUCUCCAGAUAGGACCCCGUGUCCAAGGUGGAGGAUUGCUUCAAUCUGGGUUCCUGUGGACCUUGGACUAGAGUCAGAAUUCUGUGUUCUGCAUGAUCUGAUUUUUCUGUGUCUAAACACAUUUCCCUGGGGCCCAAAUGAUCUGGAAAUUAGACCUAAGGAGAAGAAAUGGAGCCUCAAAGGUGGCUCCCAAUGAGCAUCUCAUGUGUUUCCCACAUGGAUAGGGCCAGAUUCUGUAACCAGUAGGGUAUCAUGGAUAUAAUAGCAUAUGACUUCCUAGGUUGGGUCAUAAAAGACUUUGGUUUUUAUAUCUUGUUCUCUCUUGGGAAGAGCUGCCUUAGGAAACUCUUGGGAGGAAGCCACCUUCCAUGUUGUGCAGACGUGGAGAUAUCUCUGCAGCGAGGAGCUGAACAAAGCUUCUUUCCAACAGUCAAUGAGAGCCAGUUUGCCAGCACUGUGAUAUCUUUGGCACAUGAGACGUUUCAUUACCCAGAGGGUCAGAUUCAAAGUACCACAUUAUAUUUAGUUGUCAAGUCUCCUUAGGUUCAUCUUGGCUGUGACAAUUUCUCGCUUUCCUGACUUCUGAUGACCUUGAUGGUUUUGAAGAGCUCUGGUCAGGGUCUUACAAAGCUGCCCAGGCUGUCCUUGAGUGUGUGAUCCUCCUGCUUCAACCUUCUGUGUCUGUGGAAUUACAGACAUGUACCACCAUGCCCAGCCUGCUGAGGACUUUCUUGCUGCAUCGUAACAUGGUGGAGGGUAUCACAUGGUUAAAAAAAGGCACAGGAGAGAGAGAGAGGUUAAACGAGGUCUGAUGACUACCCACCUUCUCAUCAUUGCUACACUUUCCUGCUCAGAACUUUCCGACUCCCUCUGACCCUCUCUCUGCAAAGGACAGGUCUGAAGAUAUCAGGUUCAUUUCUUCCUGCUGCUGCCCUUGGACAUCAGACUCCAGGUUUUUCGGCCUUUGGAUUCAGACCGAAUCAUUGGCCUUAUUUCUCCUUCUGAGGUUCAGCUUGUUGGCCUGAGCAGCUCCAGGCUUUCCUGACUCCCCAACCUAUGGACAACUACCACGGGACUCUUCCGCCUCUGU
Long non-coding RNA from Marmota monax (woodchuck), 4673 nucleotides. RefSeq lists it as uncharacterized. The record is from RefSeq and is a predicted model, not a curated record. NCBI's taxonomy places the organism in Eukaryota, Metazoa, Chordata, Mammalia, Rodentia, Sciuridae. The transcript has 6 exons.